This is a long non-coding RNA of Suncus etruscus (white-toothed pygmy shrew), 311 nucleotides long. RefSeq lists it as uncharacterized. The record is from RefSeq and is a predicted model, not a curated record. Lineage: Eukaryota; Metazoa; Chordata; Mammalia; Eulipotyphla; Soricidae. The transcript has 2 exons.
UCAUAUUUUGUAUACUCAAGCACUACUUUAAUGUGAUUCUGGUAAUUGAGCCAAUCUUAUGAAAAUAGGGGGAGUAUGGCAGUUGUGAAAAUGAAAAUAGAGAAUGAUGGAUCUCAUGAGGUAUUAUCUGACCACAAAUCUUGAAAACACACACACACACACACACACACACACACACCCUCUUUCACACUCUGGAUCUUUGUCUGGAUUGGGGAUUUCCAUUUGAACAAGUGUUCUGGAAGCUAAAGCAAGUGGUCAUUAGACCACAUCUUUUGAAAGCACUGCCUUGGGCAUGAAAGACUUUUCCCAUG